This 73-nucleotide transfer RNA is filed under the name Staphylococcus aureus. RNAcentral describes it as "tRNA-Lys". It matches the Rfam family "tRNA". From Rfam's summary of the family: Transfer RNA (tRNA) molecules are approximately 80 nucleotides in length. RNAcentral also lists the same sequence under 8 other names. Lineage: Bacteria; Bacillati; Bacillota; Bacilli; Caryophanales; Staphylococcaceae. The record is from RNAcentral.
GAGCCAUUAGCUCAGUUGGGAGAGCAUCUGACUUUUAAUCAGAGGGUCAGAGGUUCGAAUCCUCUAUGGCUCA